This is a long non-coding RNA of Prosopis cineraria, 702 nucleotides long. RefSeq lists it as uncharacterized. The record is from RefSeq and is a predicted model, not a curated record. The transcript has 4 exons. NCBI's taxonomy places the organism in Eukaryota, Viridiplantae, Streptophyta, Magnoliopsida, Fabales, Fabaceae.
GAUUUAUUAACUAUAUUUUCACCUUAUCAGUUGAAGGCUCCCGAGGAUACUAGCGUUCCCUUCUCCACUUCGCAAAACUUGUUCAGUCGGUGUUCAUGAGUUUCCUAAUAUUUGGCUCAUCUCUUCGGUCUGGCGCUUGGAGAUAUUGGAUUUGGUUAGACGUUUAAGCCUCAUCGGUGUGGCUGUGCUUGGACGUUGCACAGAAGCAUCAGAUCUGCAGGCUUUACCUAAUGAUAUGUUGGAGUUUUUGGAUGCACCUAUUCCGUAUGUAAUGUUCCAGAAUUGUUCACAAAAAAUAUCCACAGUUGUUUCAGAAUUGCUUUACAAAAGGUCCAAAAGAUGUCCAGCUUGCAAAAUCAAUGUGCUGAAAAGGACAAAGAAUAUAUAAUUUAUUAGUGUCUAGUUUAAGAACAAAGGAUGUUCUCAAUGCUUGAAGUGCAACAUGCAGUUCGCAGAAUACUAAACAUGUUUGUGUCUAAAUUGAUGUACAUAGUAUGCUGAAAAGAAUAGAGAAUAUAGUUGUAAAAUUCAGUGAUUGCAUUAAAUGAUGUAAAAGUGUCAUUUUAGAUCUAAAUUUUCUUAGAUUGACCUAAAUGGUUCAGUCUUGAGUAUGUAAAUGCUAUAAAUUGUGUGCCUAAGAGGCUAUUGCUACAAAUUGUAUAUGACAUUAUUGAAAUGAAUAAAAUGUUAUUUUGAUAUAAA